AGUAACACGUGGGCAAUCUGCCCUGCACUCUGGGACAAGCCCUGGAAACGGGGUCUAAUACCGGAUAUUGACCUUCACGGGCAUCUGUGAGGUUCGAAAGCUCCGGCGGUGCAGGAUGAGCCCGCGGCCUAUCAGCUUGUUGGUGAGGUAAUGGCUCACCAAGGCGACGACGGGUAGCCGGCCUGAGAGGGCGACCGGCCACACUGGGACUGAGACACGGCCCAGACUCCUACGGGAGGCAGCAGUGGGGAAUAUUGCACAAUGGGCGAAAGCCUGAUGCAGCGACGCCGCGUGAGGGAUGACGGCCUUCGGGUUGUAAACCUCUUUCAGCAGGGAAGAAGCGAAAGUGACGGUACCUGCAGAAGAAGCGCCGGCUAACUACGUGCCAGCAGCCGCGGUAAUACGUAGGGCGCAAGCGUUGUCCGGAAUUAUUGGGCGUAAAGAGCUCGUAGGCGGCUUGUCACGUCGGUUGUGAAAGCCCGGGGCUUAACCCCGGGUCUGCAGUCGAUACGGGCAGGCUAGAGUUCGGUAGGGGAGAUCGGAAUUCCUGGUGUAGCGGUGAAAUGCGCAGAUAUCAGGA
Molecule: ribosomal RNA, 580 nt
Filed under: Streptomyces sp. SCAUEA13
Lineage: Bacteria; Bacillati; Actinomycetota; Actinomycetes; Kitasatosporales; Streptomycetaceae
Description: bacterial SSU rRNA
Rfam family: Bacterial small subunit ribosomal RNA
Source: RNAcentral